UGCAGUCGAGCGGACGGAUGGGAGCUUGCUCCCUGAAGUCAGCGGCGGACGGGUGAGUAACACGUGGGCAACCUGCCUGUAAGACUGGGAUAACUCCGGGAAACCGGGGCUAAUACCGGAUAACUCUUUUCCUCACAUGAGGAAAAGCUGAAAGAUGGUUUCGGCUAUCACUUACAGAUGGGCCCGCGGCGCAUUAGCUAGUUGGUGAGGUAACGGCUCACCAAGGCCACGAUGCGUAGCCGACCUGAGAGGGUGAUCGGCCACACUGGGACUGAGACACGGCCCAGACUCCUACGGGAGGCAGCAGUAGGGAAUCUUCCGCAAUGGACGAAAGUCUGACGGAGCAACGCCGCGUGAGUGAUGAAGGUUUUCGGAUCGUAAAACUCUGUUGUCAGGGAAGAACAAGUACCGGAGUAACUGCCGGUACCUUGACGGUACCUGACCAGAAAGCCACGGCUAACUACGUGCCAGCAGCCGCGGUAAUACGUAGGUGGCAAGCGUUGUCCGGAAUUAUUGGGCGUAAAGCGCGCGCAGGCGGUUCCUUAAGUCUGAUGUGAAAGCCCCCGGCUCAACCGGGGAGGGUCAUUGGAAACUGGGGAACUUGAGUGCAGAAGAGAAGAGUGGAAUUCCACGUGUAGCGGUGAAAUGCGUAGAGAUGUGGAGGAACACCAGUGGCGAAGGCGACUCUUUGGUCUGUAACUGACGCUGAGGCGC
Molecule: ribosomal RNA, 714 nt
Filed under: Bacillus safensis
Lineage: Bacteria; Bacillati; Bacillota; Bacilli; Caryophanales; Bacillaceae
Description: bacterial SSU rRNA
Rfam family: Bacterial small subunit ribosomal RNA
Source: RNAcentral